This 491-nucleotide ribosomal RNA is filed under the name uncultured bacterium. Its description in RNAcentral is "partial 16S ribosomal RNA". It matches the Rfam family "Bacterial small subunit ribosomal RNA", at positions 28 to 507 of the family's 1533-position model. The record is from RNAcentral.
GAUGAACGCUAGCUACAGGCUUAACACAUGCAAGUCGAGGGGAAACGACAUUGAAGCUUGCUUCGAUGGUCGUCAACCGGCGCACGGGUGAGUAACGCGUAUCCAACCUGCCUCUGACCAAGGGAUAACCCGUCGAAAGUCGGCCUAAUACCUUAUGCAGUCGUCGGAAGUCAUCUGAUGACGACGAAAGAUUUCAUCGGUGAGAGAUGGGGAUGCGUCUGAUUAGCUUGUUGGCGGGGUAACGGCCCACCAAGGCAACGAUCAGUAGGGGUUCUGAGAGGAAGGUCCCCCACAUUGGAACUGAGACACGGUCCAAACUCCUACGGGAGGCAGCAGUGAGGAAUAUUGGUCAAUGGGCGAGAGCCUGAACCAGCCAAGUAGCGUGCAGGAUGACGGCCCUAUGGGUUGUAAACUGCUUUUAUGCGGGGAUAAAGUGAGGGACGUGUCCUUCAUUGCAGGUACCGCAUGAAUAAGGACCGGCUAAUUCCGUG